Brachypodium distachyon (stiff brome) is the source of this 1621-nucleotide long non-coding RNA. RefSeq lists it as uncharacterized. The record is from RefSeq and is a predicted model, not a curated record. The transcript is spliced from 3 exons. NCBI's taxonomy places the organism in Eukaryota, Viridiplantae, Streptophyta, Magnoliopsida, Poales, Poaceae.
CAAGGCGAACUUUGGAAAGCAAUGGCGCGGCGGCGGAAGGGGCUCCCGUGCUGGGUGGUGGGGGUCGAGUUGAAGGUGAAGGUGGUGUGCGGCCACGAAUACCCCCAGAAUCGCACGCUGCCACCCCUGUCCGGGGGACGAUCGAGGCGCCGUUGUCUCCCGCACUUCUCUCCGGCGGCGACGACGAGGGCUCUGACCCCGACUCCGCCCGACGCAAGUCCCUCCCCUUUGAAAGCACCUAUCGCUUUCAACCUGGAGAAUCGCGGGCGACUUCAUCGGAUUCCGAGCUCGUCCGCCGCGAUGUGGGACGCGCGGGUGGGGGUAGGGUUUCUACAUCGCCGCCGCCGCCGUCGCCCGUGACAGAUUUUGUCUUCAUAUCCGGCUUGAUCGCCGUUGGCUGCGAUAAUAGAUUCCACAUGGUGGGCUUUCCAGAUCGCAGAGACCAAACGGUUGCCGGAUUGAAACGAGGUCGAGAAGCCGCCCGAGCCAAAACUGGGAACUGUUUCCUGUCGUUUCCUUGCUCAAUCUGCAAAUUCGGUUCACGAAAAGGAUAAAAGUGCAAACCUAAAGCGGCAAAGGAGCAUCGCCUCAAUUUGAAGCUGAUCGGCGGAGGAUGAUGGAGAAUGAGAUGCGAUGGGUGCCGCAUUUGGUUGUCUGGAUGAAGAUAUGCAGCCUGGAACAAAUGUGGGAGGUGAAGAAUACAUAGCGUGCAUUAGUAAUGGCUGUGGAAGGUAAUGUUUCUGGUGAUGACAGCAAUGAGUUCAAGCUGAAGGAUGGGACGUCACAGUAUUCAUCUGCCAUUUAUGUUACAAGGUAUUGUUGAUCUCAAAAGAUUGAAAAGGGAAAGAGGGCCCUGAAUUUAAAGGGUUCGUUCUAAGCAUAUAUCACUUCCUCAGCAUUGCAGAACAUUGGGCUUGGCAAUCUGGCAUUUUUGGUCCCUUGGCCGGUUGAUCCAUUAUCCUGCACCAGUCUGGAGUCUGAACAACCGAAACAAGGAGUUUGGCAUUGAUGCUAUGCAACCCGUGUUGUCCAGCUAACUCUAAGCGGUAAGAGGUUAGUACUUUGAUUUACCUUUAUUCCUGUCCUUAAUUUAGUGGGUCUGCUCUACUUCGAAAUAGAGUAGGUUUGUUUGUCCUGGAAACCUCGAUCAGAGCAAUUUGCAGAAUGACAAUGGUGAAUGGUCCCAUCUUGCCACUUCGCUACCAAUCAGAUGAAAAUGUGCUGUCCAUGAGCAUGAUGUGGUUUUGUUUUAUCUGAUUUCACAGGCCACACCUGUCAAGAGUGCAGAGAAGAGUAGUACUCCCUCCGUUCAACAAAAGAUGUCUUAAAUUUGUCAAAAUUUGGAUGUAGCUAGACAUGACUUAGUGUAUAGAUGCAUUGAAAUUUAGUCAAAAUUUCAACAUCCUUUGUUGGACGGAGGGAGUAGAAUAUAUGGACAGAGAAAACACCUCGAAUGAACUGGCAUGUCUAAAAUGAACUUAGCAUUAGCAAUUCUGUUGUGAUGUUAUCUAUUUGGAUGCAUUCGAAGCAAAUGCAGAACUUCCCUUCCAAUAAUGGGGGGAAGAGGAGGAGGUAGCAGUUGAGCAAAGUCUCUUUAGGUUCCAUCUAAAUGUCCAAAGUA